UGCAAGUCGAGCGAAUGGAUUAAGAGCUUGCUCUUAUGAAGUUAGCGGCGGACGGGUGAGUAACACGUGGGUAACCUGCCCAUAAGACUGGGAUAACUCCGGGAAACCGGGGCUAAUACCGGAUAACAUUUUGAACCGCAUGGUUCGAAAUUGAAAGGCGGCUUCGGCUGUCACUUAUGGAUGGACCCGCGUCGCAUUAGCUAGUUGGUGAGGUAACGGCUCACCAAGGCAACGAUGCGUAGCCGACCUGAGAGGGUGAUCGGCCACACUGGGACUGAGACACGGCCCAGACUCCUACGGGAGGCAGCAGUAGGGAAUCUUCCGCAAUGGACGAAAGUCUGACGGAGCAACGCCGCGUGAGUGAUGAAGGCUUUCGGGUCGUAAAACUCUGUUGUUAGGGAAGAACAAGUGCUAGUUGAAUAAGCUGGCACCUUGACGGUACCUAACCAGAAAGCCACGGCUAACUACGUGCCAGCAGCCGCGGUAAUACGUAGGUGGCAAGCGUUAUCCGGAAUUAUUGGGCGUAAAGCGCGCGCAGGUGGUUUCUUAAGUCUGAUGUGAAAGCCCACGGCUCAACCGUGGAGGGUCAUUGGAGACUGGGAGACUUGAGUGCAAAAGAGGCGAGUGGAAAUCCAUGUGUAGCGGUGAAAUGCAUAGAGAUAUGGACGAA
This 670-nucleotide ribosomal RNA is filed under the name Bacillus cereus. RNAcentral describes it as "bacterial SSU rRNA". It matches the Rfam family "Bacterial small subunit ribosomal RNA", at positions 56 to 706 of the family's 1533-position model. The record is from RNAcentral. Lineage: Bacteria; Bacillati; Bacillota; Bacilli; Caryophanales; Bacillaceae.